GCCAGCAGCCGCGGGAACACCGGCGGCCCGAGUGGUGAUCGUGAUUAUUGGGUCUAAAGGGUCCGUAGCCGGUUUGGUCAGUCCUCCGGGAAAUCUGAUAGCUCAACUAUUAGGCUUUCGGGGGAUACUGCCAGACUUGGAACCGGGAGAGGUAAGAGGUACUACAGGGGUAGGAGUGAAAUCUUGUAAUCCCUGUGGGACCACCUGUGGCGAAGGCGUCUUACCAGAACGGGUUCGACGGUGAGGGACGAAAGCUGGGGGCACGAACCGGAUUAGAUACCCGGGUAGUCCCAGCCGUAAACGAUGCUCGCUAGGUGUCAGGCAUGGCGCGACCGUGUCUGGUGCCGCAGGGAAGCCGUGAAGCGAGCCACCUGGGAAGUACGGCCGCAAGGCUGAAACUUAAAGGAAUUGGCGGGGGAGCACAACAACGGGUGGAGCCUGCGGUUUAAUUGGACUCAACGCCGGACAACUCACCGGGGGCGACAGCAAUAUGUAGGCCAAGCUGAAGACUUUGCCUGAAUCGCUGAGAGAAGAGGUGCAUGG
This 543-nucleotide ribosomal RNA is filed under the name uncultured archaeon. RNAcentral describes it as "bacterial SSU rRNA". It matches the Rfam family "Archaeal small subunit ribosomal RNA", at positions 457 to 997 of the family's 1478-position model. The record is from RNAcentral.